Molecule: ribosomal RNA, 305 nt
Filed under: uncultured bacterium
Lineage: Bacteria
Description: bacterial SSU rRNA
Rfam family: Bacterial small subunit ribosomal RNA
Source: RNAcentral
GUACGCCUACGGGAGGCAGCAGUGGGGAAUAUUGCACAAUGGGGGAAACCCUGAUGCAGCGACGCCGCGUGAGCGAAGAAGUAUUUCGGUAUGUAAGGCUCUAUCAGCAGGGAAGAAAAAUGACGGUACCUGAGUAAGAAGCACCGGCUAAAUACGUGCCAGCAGCCGCGGUAAUACGUAGGGGGCAAGCGUUAUCCGGAUUUACUGGGUGUAAAGGGAGCGUAGACGGAAUUGCAAGUCUGAUGUGAAAAUCCGGGGCCCAACCCCGGAAGUGCAUUGGAAACUGUAUUUCUAGAGUGUCGGAG